GUGCUCUCUUCAGUAGCACAUAUUCUAAAAUUGGAACAAAACAGAGAAGAUUAUCAAGGCCCCUGCACAAGGAUGACAUGCAAACUCAUGAAGGAUUCCAUAUUUUU
This is a small nuclear RNA of Sciurus carolinensis (gray squirrel), 107 nucleotides long. The record is from RefSeq and is a predicted model, not a curated record. Lineage: Eukaryota; Metazoa; Chordata; Mammalia; Rodentia; Sciuridae.